Molecule: ribosomal RNA, 253 nt
Filed under: uncultured bacterium
Lineage: Bacteria
Description: partial 16S ribosomal RNA
Rfam family: Bacterial small subunit ribosomal RNA
Source: RNAcentral
UACGUAGGUGGCAAGCGUUGUCCGGAUUUACUGGGCGUAAAGGGCGUGCAGGCGGUCUGUUAAGUCUAGGGUGAAAGCUCCCGGCUCAACUGGGAGAGGUCCUUGGAUACUGGCGGACUUGAGGGAGGCAGAGGAAAGUGGAAUUCCCGGUGUAGUGGUGAUAUGCAUAGAUAUCGGGAGGAACACCAGUGGCGAAGGCGACUUCCUGGCCUGUUCUUGACGCUGAGGCGCGAAAGCUAGGGGAGCAAACGGG